RNAcentral lists this ribosomal RNA (433 nucleotides) under uncultured bacterium. RNAcentral's name for it is "partial 16S ribosomal RNA". It matches the Rfam family "Bacterial small subunit ribosomal RNA", at positions 29 to 507 of the family's 1533-position model. The record is from RNAcentral.
AACGAACGCUGGCGGCAUGCCUAACACAUGCAAGUCGAACGAGACCUUCGGGUCUAGUGGCGCACGGGUGCGUAACGCGUGGUAACCUGCCCUUAGGUUCGGAAUAACUCCCCGAAAGGUGUGCUAAUACCGGUUAAUGUCAUCGCACCAAAGAUUUAUCGCCUUUGGAUGGGCCCGCGUUGGAUUAGCUAGUUGGUAGGGUAAAAGCCUACCAAGGCGACGAUCCAUAGCUGGUCUGAGAGGAUGAUCAGCCACACUGGGACUGAGACACGGCCCAGACUCCUACGGGAGGCAGCAGUGGGGAAUAUUGGACAAUGGGCGAAAGCCUGAUCCAGCAAUGCCGCGUGAGUGAUGAAGGCCUUAGGGUUGUAAAGCUCUUUUACCCGGGAUGAUAAUGACAGUACCGGGAGAAUAAGCGCCGGCUAACUCCGUG